This 775-nucleotide ribosomal RNA is filed under the name uncultured Neocallimastigales. Its description in RNAcentral is "partial large subunit ribosomal RNA". It matches the Rfam family "Eukaryotic large subunit ribosomal RNA", at positions 26 to 616 of the family's 3401-position model. Lineage: Eukaryota; Fungi; Neocallimastigomycota; Neocallimastigomycetes; Neocallimastigales. The record is from RNAcentral.
CGCAUCUGUGCAUGCAGCAUAUCAAUAAGCGGAGGAAAAGAAACUAACAAGGAUUCCCCUAGUAACGGCGAGUGAAGCGGGAAGAGCUCAAAUUUGAAAUCUUAAAGGGUUUCCCUUUACGAAUUGUAGUUUAAAGAAGUGUUUUCUGUUGAGGUUUUGGUAAAAGUUCUUUGGAAUAGGACAUCAUAGAGGGUGAGAAUCCCGUAUUUGACCUUUACUUUCAACUUUGUGAUACACUUUCAAAGAGUCGGAUUGUUUGGGAAUGCAGUCCAAAAUGGGUGGUAAAUUUCAUCUAAAGCUAAAUAUUGGCGAGAGACCGAUAGCGAACAAGUACCGUGAGGGAAAGAUGAAAAGAACUUUGAAAAGAGAGUUAAACAGUACGUGAAAUUGUCAAAAGGGAAGCGUUUGACACCAGUGUUGUUUUUCUGAAAAUCAAUUAAAGAACUGUUUAUGCUAAGCUGUUUAGACUUUAUCAGCUAAUCUGUUUAGUUUUGAGCUUUUCUUUAAUGCACUUUUCAGUUAACAAGUCAACAUCAAUUUCUUUUGCUGUAAAAAAGCUUGAGGAAGGUGGCUUGAGAUUCGUCUUAAGUGUUUAUAGCCUCUUGCCUAUGCAGUCGGAGAGAUUGAGGUCUGCAGCGUAGAUCCUUCGGGGCUAAAUGCAUUUGUGCUAAGUUAUAACAUUUUAUAGACAACUUGUUGACUAUGAUUUGUCUUGUAGCUUACUCGCUUAUGUUAUUUUACCUACGCUUAGGAUGUUGAGCGCAUGUCUCUCUCU